RNAcentral lists this unclassified non-coding RNA (248 nucleotides) under Amphinema sp. (in: basidiomycete fungi). Its description in RNAcentral is "Amphinema sp. (in: Fungi) partial contains small subunit ribosomal RNA, internal transcribed spacer 1, and 5.8S ribosomal RNA". The stretch from base 1 to 46 matches the Rfam family "Eukaryotic small subunit ribosomal RNA", at positions 1786 to 1831 of the family's 1831-position model. Lineage: Eukaryota; Fungi; Basidiomycota; Agaricomycetes; Atheliales; Atheliaceae. The record is from RNAcentral.
AAGUCGUAACAAGGUUUCCGUAGGUGAACCUGCGGAAGGAUCAUUAUCGAAUUAUAGGCGAGGGUUGUAGCUGGCCUCUCGAGGCACGUGCACGCCCGAGCCCUUGAAUCCCACGACACACCUGUGAACCCACCGUAGGCCUUCGGGCUUAUGCAUCGUUAAUAUUACGCCGUAUGUGACAUAGAAUGUUAGAGACGAAUGGGAAAAAAAUGAUAAUACAACUUUCAACAACGGAUCUCUUGGCUCUC